UGAUGAGUGUUCUGCUGAGCAUAUCAUUUCUGAGCCGAAUAAGUGAGAAUUAGGAUUUGAAUUAGCUGACACUGUGAGCAAGCCCAGAACGUGGGAAGCCUAAUGUGUCACAAUUCGUAUCCACCUUUGAUGAAGGUGGGUUCAGAGUAGGUGUUUUGGUAGAGCGCUCCUAAA
Molecule: non-coding RNA, 174 nt
Filed under: Legionellales bacterium
Lineage: Bacteria; Pseudomonadati; Pseudomonadota; Gammaproteobacteria; Legionellales
Description: 6S RNA
Rfam family: 6S / SsrS RNA
About the family: E. coli 6S RNA was the first non coding RNA to be sequenced, but its function was unknown until recently.
Source: RNAcentral